RNAcentral lists this long non-coding RNA (3774 nucleotides) under Nicotiana tabacum (common tobacco). RNAcentral's name for it is "long non-coding RNA (NTAB_LNC016236)". Lineage: Eukaryota; Viridiplantae; Streptophyta; Magnoliopsida; Solanales; Solanaceae. The record is from RNAcentral.
CCUGGAAUUGUGACCAAACUUGUAUUGAGGUCCAAAGUCCUCAAGACUUCAAGCUGAUGGUGUAACCUCGCAUGGGCCAAUUAUUCAGGCCCAAGAAUUCUGGAGUACAAAGGACCAAUGGCUUUGCAACUGGUUUUUCCAGAUAUCUUUCAUACUUCAUCACAGAAAUGGCAAUAAUAACAUAAGUAUCAAUACAUGAUUAUCUGAAUUCCAAAUUACGGCAAUCGCACAAUUUAUAUAUUCAGAGGCAUUCGUACAGUUAACAUAAAUGAAGGCUGUCCCAAAUUGAUUUUAAAACGUUUCAGGCAUAGCCAUAAAUUGCUACCAAAUUGAUUUUGGUAAAUUUAACAUUACUGGAAACAAUCACUAUUACAGGCCCAAAUCCAAAUAAAUUAUCAUACAACUUGUCAAUUUACAGAAAAAUCUCAAAAUCUAGGCUAGUCAACUAGGAUUAAUUGUUAUACAAAUAACCACUUCAUGCUUGUUUAGUACUCCAGAUCUAUUCAAAAUUGAUUGAACUCAUGACUUGAGGCUAAUACUUUCCUAAUCUCAAAUCGACCUGGAAAUUUCAAACUUCAAAUCCUAUUUCAAGUAGACAAACAAUACUCACAUUUUAACACAUCCAAACACACGAGUCUAUAUCACAAUUAUGCAGCAGGAUAAUUUAUUGAAAUAACAAUUUUACUACUCGAAAUCAUAAGUCACACCUUCGUAGCAAGUAAACAGACUUCAAAAAACUCAAUAAAAGAAGAAUAGGAGAUGGAUUCAACAUAUAAAAUAGUAGCACGUCUAGAUUUCAUGGAGAAAACAAAGUAAGUAAGUCAUUUCUGCCAAAAACAGUACUCAGGUUCAUAAACAAGUACUUGAUUGCGCAGUAGUCACUUUAGAACUGCCAAAUAAAUGCCAAAGAAAAAGAGAGUGAAGCUCAACUAACAGCAGACUGAAUAACAGCAGAAAACAACAGCUUCUUCUACUCAAACAGCUUUCCAAGAUCUAGAAAAUAUACUGCAGUCAAAUGAAAUUAGAAACAACUUCAGAAUAUAUUUUUUUUUAUUUGUUUUGUUUUCGGGAAUUUUGGUUUUUUCAGAUCUGUAUUUCAAAUUUCAGGCUGUUUCUAAAAUGUGAGAGUGAGUGUGGAGUUUUCUCAAUGACCUAAUACAUAUGAGAGAGGUACUGUUUUAUAGAAGCCUUCUAGGCUUCUUUCAGAUUUUUCCUUUUCUUUUAGAUCCCUCUUCUUUCCUGUUUUUACUCAUUAAAUCCCUCACAUCUGACCCAUUUUUUACUUUUUCUUUGCUAAUAAGUCCUUUUACCCUCUUCUAGAAGCUCCUGGGUAGUUAUUAAAAUUAUUCCCUAAGUUAAAACCCUAAACUACCCUUCCAGCCCCUGUUUUUUAACAUUUUCUUUUAGUAUUAGGCCUCGCCCGGAGGCCAAGAGGCACAAAAUCAAGGUCUAGCCCACCAAUUUUUUCUCAACUCACCCCCGAAUCUAGCGAGUCUGCCAAGACCAGGUCUAAUUCCAAACAAAUCCCAAGCGGCCAAACAAAUUAGAUGUCCAAAUUCAAAAUUGAAAACUAAAAACUCCUGUGAUUGUAAUGAAUUAUGGCGACGAUCAAUAGAACUCCGGCGAGAAAAAGGGAUUGUCACAUGAGCACUAGCCGACAAAUUUUUAUGCGAGCCAGUGCUAUAUGUAAUAAUGCUCAUUACAAGCCGAAUUAAAGAAGAAAAGAUGGAGUUCAGGGAAGUUUGACCGGUCAAUGGAGGUCAACGAUGUUCUGGCCGCCGAAAAAUGGUAAACAAACUUCCUCAAAUGAAAGGUCUUUCCAAGACGUAUCAAUUGAUGUAAAAUUUGGGUAAUAAAGAGGCAGGAUUGAUGGUGAUUUAGCAAAGGGGCCAAAAAAAAUGGAAUUUCUAUUCCUAGAUCUUCUAAUCAGCAAGAUUGAGAGGUUUUUUUGGGGGGGAGGGGGGGAUGAUACUGGAUUAGGGGUGAGGAGGUGGUGAGGAGUAUUUGUUGAUGUUUUGGGGUUGGUUAGUGGUGGUCCAUCGUGGCGAUUUUCGGGCGGCGGAAGACGGCAGAGUAAGGUGGCUGAUUUGAGAUAAUGAGAGAAUUGGGGGCGGCUAAGUUUUGGCAUAGUGGGAGUGUUUGGAUUAUGAGACAAAACAAGGGGGUUUGGUUGUUUAAGUGAAUGGAGGAAGAGGAAACGACGUAGUUCAUGUGUGAAACUAUGUCGUUUGAAAGGCCUGGUGGGGGAAGCUUGUUGGACCGGGUAGCAGGGUUGGACUGGACGGAUUUCGAGGGAAUUUGGGCCUCUGGAGCUGGCCCAAUUUGGGGCAUGAAGCAAACAGACCUUCUUAUUUUUAUUUGAUUUUCAAAAUUAGCCAAGUGAAAUCUAAUUGAGACUAUUUUGCAGAUUUGACCUACCAAACUAAUUAAAAUUGUGUAUUAAUUAAUAAACCUAAAAAUACAGAAAAUAGGAGUAAUUAAAAGUAUUUUUUGAUUUUCAUAUUUUAGAGAUGAAAGGGCAAAAGAUAAGAUAUUUUUUGUCACAUUCAUGAUUUGAAAUGCUACUAAAUAUACUAAAAAUGCAAAUCAAUGCCAAACAAAAUAAAAUAAAAUAGAGAAAAAUUCUUAAAAUUUCAUAAAGGCAAUUAAAACUAUUUUAGAGUAUUUUUAGGAGUAUUUUAGGCAUGGAACAAACAUUACGUGCUCACACAAUAUAUCUCCUUAUACAACUAAAUCCAGUAGUUUAAUAUAUAUAGUGACUAAUAUAUACUUUAUUUUAUUAUUAUAGUCUAUUAAACUACGUUUUUCUCUGCUAUCUGCCCACCGAUAUUUCUAGUGCCCGCUUGCAGAGUUCCUGAUAUUCUGAUAAGCUUAUCUUGGGAAUUUCCACAAAGGGAAACUUCUUCAAUGAAAUGAAGAUCAAUCUCUGAUUUGAAAUUUUAGAAAUAUAAGCAAUUAUGACCUCAAGAGUUUCAUUUCACUGAAUGAUUAACUUUAAGCUUUCUGCAAUAGCUUUUACCCAUUAGAAAUCUUUAAUUAUUAGUUAAAUUCCUAUUACUAUUGUUAUAUCGUAAAUUUCACAUCAAGAUCAACAUAAUAUCAUUUGGAGAAUUGGUACAUAUGGUAAGAACACAAUCCUAAUGUUGAUCAAUCAAGCACAUUUGUUUAUCAUAUCGCCAAAUCACCCUCUCAUUCAUAGGAUGAAAUAAAAUCUUAGCACAUUUUUUAAGCAUUGUUGAUUCUAAAACACAGUCAUGGGAGGCAUGUACGAAAUAUAAGAAAUGUAGAGUACUUUUUGUUGGUUAAUGGUCGUCAUGUAUAAUGUUUUUGAACCUUUUGAUGUAGUCCAGCUUAAAAUACUUAACGAUUUUGCUCUUUUGCGAUGGAAUUGUUUCUAUCAUUCCGAUGUUCUUUUUAUAAUUAAUUGGUACGUUAGGAUCUCGUUUGAAUUUUAGUGUUUAGAUCGUUUACUCCUUUGUCAAAAAGUCGCGAAUGAAACAGAGAAAAUAUCCUAUGCCCAAUUACAAUUAGAAGAAAAUAUAAUGAUCAUAAAAAUAUCUUUUGAAUGUAUUGAUUUUUGCUCAUGUCAAAUCGCAUAAUCACUUUAUUUAGAACGCAUUUAUGUUGAAUCAUUAUUUUAUUGUAAGAGAAUCAUUUCGAUCUUGCAGGUAUUCUGGAGUUUAGAUAUAUCAACAAAAGGGUUUGAGCAGUCAAAGAGGAUCGAUCCAUCCCAGUCCAACUCUUAUUUUGAAGGAUCUAUAUACAAAUAGCCGG